UCGAGGGGUAACAGGGAGCUUGCUCCGCUGACGACCGGCGCACGGGUGCGCACCGCGUAUGGAACCUGCCUUUUACAGGGGAAUAGCCCAGGGAAACUUGGAUUAAUGCCCCGUGGCACCACGGCCCGGCAUCGGGAUGUGGUUAAAGCCUUCGGGCGGUAGAAGAUGGCCAUGCGUCCCAUUAGCUGGAUGGUAAGGUAACGGCUUACCAUGGCUACGAUGGGUAGGGGCCCUGAGAGGGGGAUCCCCCACACUGGUACUGAGACACGGACCAGACUCCUACGGGAGGCAGCAGUGAGGAAUAUUGGACAAUGGGCGAGGGCCUGAUCCAGCCAUGCCGCGUGCAGGAAGAAUGCCCUAUGGGUAGUAAACUGCUUUUAUACGGGAAGAAAAAGGGGCACGUGUGCCCCACUGACGGUACCGUAAGAAUAAGGACCGGCUAACUCCGUGCCAGCAGCCGCGGUAAUACGGAGGGUCCGAGCGUUAUCCGGAAUUAUUGGGUUUAAAGGGUCCGUAGGCGGGCCGGUAAGUCAGGGGUGAAAGUCUGUAGCUCAACUAUAGAAUUGCCUUUGAUACUGCCGGUCUUGAGUUAUGGUGAAGUUGCCGGAAUAUGUGGUGUAGCGGUGAAAUGCAUAGAUAUCACAUAGAACACCGAUUGCGAAGGCAGGUGACUAACCAUAUACUGACGCUGAUGGACGAAAGCGUGGGGAGCGAACAGGAUUAGAUACCCUGGUAGUCCACGCCGUAAACGAUGGAUACUAGCUGUCCGGGUCCUUGAGGCCUGGCGGCCAAGCGAAAGU
Molecule: ribosomal RNA, 800 nt
Filed under: Maribacter sp.
Lineage: Bacteria; Pseudomonadati; Bacteroidota; Flavobacteriia; Flavobacteriales; Flavobacteriaceae
Description: bacterial SSU rRNA
Rfam family: Bacterial small subunit ribosomal RNA
Source: RNAcentral